GAUGAACGCUGGCGGCGUGCCUAAUAUAUGCAAGUCGAGCGAACGGACGAGAAGCUUGCUUCUCUGAUGUUAGCGGCGGACGGGUGAGUAACACGUGGAUAACCUACCUAUAAGACUGGGAUAACUUCGGGAAACCGGAGCUAAUACCGGAUAAUAUUUUGAACCGCAUGGUUCAAAAGUGAAAGACGGUCUUGCUGUCACUUAUAGAUGGAUCCGCGCUGCAUUAGCUAGUUGGUAAGGUAACGGCUUACCAAGGCAACGAUGCAUAGCCGACCUGAGAGGGUGAUCGGCCACACUGGAACUGAGACACGGUCCAGACUCCUACGGGAGGCAGCAGUAGGGAAUCUUCCGCAAUGGGCGAAAGCCUGACGGAGCAACGCCGCGUGAGUGAUGAAGGUCUUCGGAUCGUAAAACUCUGUUAUUAGGGAAGAACAUAUGUGUAAGUAACUGUGCACAUCUUGACGGUACCUAAUGAGAAAGCCACGGCUAACUACGUG
This 497-nucleotide ribosomal RNA is filed under the name uncultured bacterium. RNAcentral's name for it is "partial 16S ribosomal RNA". It matches the Rfam family "Bacterial small subunit ribosomal RNA", at positions 28 to 507 of the family's 1533-position model. The record is from RNAcentral.